RNAcentral lists this non-coding RNA (28 nucleotides) under Bombyx mori (domestic silkworm). The record is from RNAcentral. Lineage: Eukaryota; Metazoa; Arthropoda; Insecta; Lepidoptera; Bombycidae.
UGCCUGUGAAUGCUGUACCUCGGUCAGU